RNAcentral lists this ribosomal RNA (279 nucleotides) under uncultured bacterium. Its description in RNAcentral is "partial 16S ribosomal RNA". It matches the Rfam family "Bacterial small subunit ribosomal RNA", at positions 506 to 784 of the family's 1533-position model. The record is from RNAcentral.
UGCCAGCCGCCGCGGGAAUACGCAGGUUGCAAGCGUUGUUCGGAAUUACUGGGCGUAAAGGGGGCGCAGGCGGUUCGAUUAGUCUGGAGUGAAAGCCCGGGGCUCAACCCCGGAAGGCCUUUGGAUACUGUCGAACUAGAGUACGGGAGAGGAGAGCGGAAUUCCUGGUGUAGCGGUGAAAUGCGUAGAUAUCAGGAGGAACACCUAUGGCGAAAGCAGCUCUCUGGCCCGAUACUGACGCUGAGGCCGGAAAGCGUGGGGAGCGAACAGGAUUAGAUA